RNAcentral lists this ribosomal RNA (433 nucleotides) under uncultured bacterium. RNAcentral describes it as "partial 16S ribosomal RNA". It matches the Rfam family "Bacterial small subunit ribosomal RNA", at positions 29 to 507 of the family's 1533-position model. The record is from RNAcentral.
AACGAACGCUGGCGGCAUGCCUAACACAUGCAAGUCGAACGAGACCUUCGGGUCUAGUGGCCCACGGGUGCGUAACGCGUGGGAACCUGCCCUUAGGUUCGGAAUAACUCCACGAAAGGGGUGCUAAUACCGAAUAAUGUCUUCUGACCAAAGAUUUAUCGCCUUUGGUUGUGCCCGCGUUGGAUAAGCUAUUUGUUAGGGUAAAAGACUACUACGGGGACGAUCCAUAGCUGGUCUGAGAGGAUGAUCAGCCACACUGGGACUGAGACACGGCCCAGACUCCUACGGGAUGCAGCAGUGGGGAAUAGUGGACAAUGGGCGAAAGCCUGAUCCAGCAAUGCCGCGUGAGUGAUGAAGGCCUGAGGGUUGUAAAGCUCUUUUAACCGGGAUGAUAAUGACAGUACCGGGAGAAUAAGCUCCGGCUAACUCCGUG